This 258-nucleotide ribosomal RNA is filed under the name uncultured Leptotrichia sp. RNAcentral describes it as "partial 16S ribosomal RNA". It matches the Rfam family "Bacterial small subunit ribosomal RNA", at positions 96 to 356 of the family's 1533-position model. The record is from RNAcentral. Lineage: Bacteria; Fusobacteriati; Fusobacteriota; Fusobacteriia; Fusobacteriales; Leptotrichiaceae.
UGGCGGACGGGUGAGUAACGCGUAAAGAACUUGCCCUUUAGACUGGGAUAACAGAGGGAAACUUCUGAUAAUACUGGAUAAGUUAGUAUAUCGCAUGAUAUGCAAAUGAAAGCUACGGCACUAAAGGAGAGCUUUGCGUCUAUUAGCUAGUUGGUAAGGUAAGAGCUUACCAAGGCGAUGAUAGGUAGCCGGCCUGAGAGGGUGGACGGCCACAAGGGGACUGAGAUACGGCCCUUACUCCUACGGGAGGCAGCAGUG